This 564-nucleotide ribosomal RNA is filed under the name uncultured bacterium. RNAcentral describes it as "bacterial SSU rRNA". It matches the Rfam family "Bacterial small subunit ribosomal RNA", at positions 338 to 916 of the family's 1533-position model. The record is from RNAcentral.
CCUACGGGAGGCAGCAGUGGGGAAUUUUCCGCAAUGGGCGAAAGCCUGACGGAGCAACGCCGCGUGAGGGAUGAAGGCCUCUGGGCUGUAAACCUCUUUUCUCAAGGAAGAAGAUCUGACGGUACUUGAGGAAUAAGCCACGGCUAAUUCCGUGCCAGCAGCCGCGGUAAUACGGGAGUGGCAAGCGUUAUCCGGAAUUAUUGGGCGUAAAGCGUCCGCAGGCGGUCUUGAAAGUCUGUUGUUAAAGCGUGGAGCUUAACUCCAUUUGAGCAAUGGAAACUACAAGACUAGAGUGUGGUAGGGGCAGAGGGAAUUCCCGGUGUAGCGGUGAAAUGCGUAGAUAUCGGGAAGAACACCAGUGGCGAAGGCGCUCUGCUGGGCCAUAACUGACGCUCAUGGACGAAAGCCAGGGGAGCGAAAGGGAUUAGAUACCCCUGUAGUCCUGGCCGUAAACGAUGAACACUAGGUGUCGGGGGAAUCGACCCCCUCGGUGUCGUAGCCAACGCGUUAAGUGUUCCGCCUGGGGAGUACGCACGCAAGUGUGAAACUCAAAUGAAUUGACGG